Ictalurus punctatus (channel catfish) is the source of this 540-nucleotide long non-coding RNA. NCBI's taxonomy places the organism in Eukaryota, Metazoa, Chordata, Actinopteri, Siluriformes, Ictaluridae. The record is from Ensembl.
AGAAAAUAAACACACUCCCUUUUAAAAUGUUUACAUUUUGUUUGCAGUUACAACCCCAAUUGGGAAAAAGUUUUAGACAGUAUGGGAAAUGGAAAUAAAAAACAAAGAGGAGUGAUGUGGAAAUGUACUUUGACUUGUAUUUAAACAGAACACGUAUAAAGACGAGGUAUUUGAUUUGUUUUAUCUAAUCAACUUCAUAGUUUUCUGAAGAUAAACGAUUAUUUUGACAUUGAUUCAUGCAAACACGUACGAAAUAUGUUGGGACAGGGGCAGUUUAAGACUAAUAGCGGUGUGAGAAGUUGAAAUAAGAAGGUGAUGUAAAACAAGUGAGGCGAUUGUCUAAUCAUACUAUAUAAGGAGCCUCCAAAAAACUCCUUCAAGAGCGAGGCGAUUGUCUAAUCAUACUAUAUAAGGAGCCUCCAAAAAACUCCUUCAAGAGCGAGGCGGGUCGAGGCUCGCUGAUCUGCCAACAGACGCGUCAGAGAAUAAUCCAAAACUUUGAGAAGAACAUUCCCCAAAGAGAAAUCAGUAGGAUUUUCA